CUGCCCCCUGUUACAAGCUGCGGCCUAUGUGGUUCAGAUGAUUCCUGGCAACAUUCACUUUUACAUUGCAACAUGGCUAGAUGUGUGUGGGCUCUCCAUGAUCCUGACCUGGUGGAAGUGGUGGAAAAUACAAGGGAGCCUGAUGCCAAGAGGUGGAUUUUCUCUAUUCUGGACUCCCUCCCAUAUGAUGAUUUUAUCGAAGUGCUAAUCACCCUCUCGGCGAUUUGGCAUGCUCGACAGAAGCAGCCGGUAGUGCCAGUACCUAUUCCCUGGGCAAGAGCAAAGUGGAUCCCGCCAGCUCAAGGGCUCGCCAACAUUAGAGUGGAUGGCGCCGUCUCUAAAGAAGCAAAUGAGGGCACCUACAACGCCGUGUGUCGCGACGCUUCUGGCCACUAUCUUGGAGCCUCGGUUGUCAGAACCUUGGGCAUCACUGACCCAGCUACUCUCGAAGUGUUGGCUUGUUGGGAGGCACAAGCUAUUGCGUUUGAUCUCUCAUUAUCACAUGUGGUGAUUCCUUCGGAUUGCUGGAUUGUGGUGAAUGAUAUACACAACGAAAUAGGUGCUGCGUAUGCUAGUAUAGUGAAGGAAAUUAGAUCUAAUGUUAGUCAGUUCAAGGAGUGCUCCUUCAUCUUUGAAGGAAGAGACACAAAUAUCGAGGCACAUAGUCUCGCUAAACAUGCUUUUGGUUUGGACUUGGGUCGCCAUGUUUGGCUUCUCAAUCCUUCAGAUCUCCAUUGUAUUCCCAUGAACAUUAUUAAUCAAUAA
Molecule: ribosomal RNA, 765 nt
Filed under: Triticum aestivum (bread wheat)
Lineage: Eukaryota; Viridiplantae; Streptophyta; Magnoliopsida; Poales; Poaceae
Description: partial small subunit ribosomal RNA
Source: RNAcentral